Molecule: ribosomal RNA, 411 nt
Filed under: Acanthamoeba sp.
Lineage: Eukaryota; Discosea; Longamoebia; Acanthamoebidae
Also listed under: 1 other name
Description: SSU rRNA
Rfam family: Eukaryotic small subunit ribosomal RNA
Source: RNAcentral
AAAAUUAGAGUGUUCAAAGCAGGCAGAUCCAAUUCUCUGCCACCGAAUACAUUAGCAUGGGAUAAUGGAAUAGGACCCUGUCCUCCUAUUUUCAGUUGGUUUUGGCAGCGCGAGGACUAGGGUAAUGAUUAAUAGGGAUAGUUGGGGGCAUUAAUAUUUAAUUGUCAGAGGUGAAAUUCUUGGAUUUAUGAAAGAUUAACUUCUGCGAAAGCAUCUGCCAAGGAUGUUUUCAUUAAUCAAGAACGAAAGUUAGGGGAUCGAAGACGAUCAGAUACCGUCGUAGUCUUAACCAUAAACGAUGCCGACCAGCGAUUAGGAGACGUUGAAUACAAAACACCACCAUCGGUGCGGUCGUUCUUGGCGUCGGUUUCGGCCGGCGCGGGAGCGGCUUAGCCCGGUGGCACCGGUGAA